RNAcentral lists this ribosomal RNA (923 nucleotides) under uncultured archaeon. RNAcentral describes it as "bacterial SSU rRNA". It matches the Rfam family "Archaeal small subunit ribosomal RNA", at positions 1 to 925 of the family's 1478-position model. The record is from RNAcentral.
UUCCGGUUGAUCCUGCCGGAGGCCAUUGCUAUCGGAGUCCGAUUUAGCCAUGCUAGUCGUGCGAGUUCAGACUCGCGGCACCGAGCUCAGUAACACGUGGCCAAACUACCCUACAGAGACGGAUACCCUCGGGAAACUGAGGUUAACCCGUCAUACCGAUCUCAGGCUUGAAUCGCAGAGAUCACAAAACGCCCCGGCGCUGUAGGAUGUGGCUGCGGUUGAUUAGGUAGACGGUGGGGUAACGGCCCACCGUGCCCAUAAUCAGUACAGGUUGUGAGAGCAAGAACCUGGAGACGGAAUCUGAUACAAGAUUCCGGGCCCUACGGGGCGCAGCAGGCGCGAAACCUUUACACUGCACGCACGUGCGAUAAGGGGACUCCGAGUGCGAGGGCAUAUCGUCCUCGCUUUCGUGUACCGUAGGGUGGUACACCAACAAGGGCUGGGCAAGACCGGUGCCAGCCGCCGCGGUAAUACCGGCAGCCCGAGUGAUGGCCGAUCUUAUUGGGCCUAAAGCGUCCGUAGCUGGCUGCGCAAGUCCGUCGGGAAAUCCACUCGCCCAACGAGUGGGCGUCCGACGGAAACUGCACAGCUUGGGACCGGAAGGCUCGAAGGGUACGUUCGGGGUAGGAGUGAAAUCCCAUAAUCCCGCACGGACCACCGAUGGCGAAAGCACUUCGAGAAAACGGAUCCGACAGUGAGUGGCGAAAGCCAGGGUCUCCAACCGGAUUAGAUACCCGGGUAGUCCUGGCCGUAAACAAUGUUCGCUAGGUAUGACACAGACUACGUGUCUCUGUUGUGCCGUAGGGAAGCCGAGAAGCGAACCGCCUGGGAAGUACGUCUGCAAGGAUGAAACUUAAAGGAAUUGGCGGGGGAGCACUACAACCGGAGGAGCCUGCGGUUUAAUUGGAUUCAACGCCGGGAAG